RNAcentral lists this long non-coding RNA (593 nucleotides) under Brassica napus (rape). Its description in RNAcentral is "long non-coding RNA (BNAP_LNC019082)". Lineage: Eukaryota; Viridiplantae; Streptophyta; Magnoliopsida; Brassicales; Brassicaceae. The record is from RNAcentral.
AUCCUAACUCAAUUGAGAUUUAUUCAACUUUCUGGUGAUUCUCAACUAUUUUAUGUAUCUGAAUGAAGCCACUUACAUCACGAUUCAUCCAGGUUUGAUUAGAAUGACGAAGAAGUUGUCACAUUCCCAAAAAGGAAAACUGGGAUCACCUGAUUUGAUAGUGGGAUAACUUCUUCAUCCUAACUCCUAUUAGAUUUAUUCAACUUCCUGGUGAUUCUCCACUACUUUAUAUAUCCAAAUACAACUUCUUACAUCGCGAUUUAUCCUGAUUUGAUUCGAACGACGAAUAGGUUAUCAUAUUCCCACACAGGAAAACUAGGAUCACCUGAUUUGAAAGUGGGAUAACUUCUUCAUCCAAACUUCUAUGAGAUUUAUUCAACUUCCUGGUGAUUCUCCACUACUUUAUGUAUCCAAAUACAACUUAUUACAUCAAAAUUCAUCCUAGUUUAAUUAAAAUGAUGAAGAAGUUUUCAUAUUAUCAAACAGAAAAACUAGGAUCACCUGAUUUGAAAGUGGGAUAAUUUAUUCAUCCUAACUUCUAUGAUAUUUAUUCAACUUCCUGGUGAUUCUCCACUACUUUAUGUAUCCAAAAC